CUACAAAUAUGAUAUUUCGAUCUUAUUUGUAAUUUCAAUGAACCUGUCUUACUUUGCACACAUUUACAAAUUUUUUCAAUUAAUUAUAUAUACAUCUGCUCAAACAUUUCGAUCACGUUAAAGACAAAUAUAAAAUGAUCGAGGUGAAUUAAUUGAAUAUGGAGCAUAUGUGCUUAUAUAUUGUCACGACAACUUGGAUAAGUUUCAAAUAAUAUUACAGCUAACUUAUGUGUAGAAAUGGAGUUUAAAUUUAUUUAAGACCAUUAUCUUAGGGCUAUUUGCAAAAAUAGACCACUAUUUUUCGGACUUGUAAAAAUAGGUCAAUUAUUUUAGUUUUUGGUAUUUUUAGACCACAUGUGUAUCCAAUCAAGCUAUUUUGGGCCACAUUUUGACCCCAAAAAGUGGUCUAUAAAUGCUGAAUUGAGCUCAAAUGUGGCCUGAAAAUGUCAAAAAUUAAAAUAAUUGGCCUAUUUUUGCAAAUUCGAAAAAUAGUGGCCUACACUACAAAAAAACGCGUGUUUACCGGCGUAAACUACCGGCGGCGCUUUUGCCGUCGGUACCUAACGGCGGCACGGCGGCGGCAUUUCAGGCGACCCAAACCUUCGAAAUUACCGGCCAGUUACCGACGGCAAACGCGCCGCCGUUAAGUUUUGAAUAUUCAAUAAAACAUUAUUUUAACACAAUUACCGACGGCGUUUUUGCCGUCGCUAGCUAGCGGCGGCAAUUGCCCUCGGUAAUGUCUAAUAUUAGGGCACGCGUAACCUCCUUUUUUCAGUUUUGCGCAAAACAGAUCCCCCCACCCCCCGCCGCUUCUGCUGCUGCCUGCUGCUGCCACCAGCCGACCGCCGCCGUGCCCAGCCGCCCGUUCGACGAUUUCGUUUCGCCGCUUUCUUCACGACACCCGCUGGAAACCACCACCAAUUUGCAAGAAUGAGUGAUAAUCGUAUGUGGAUGUACGCGAGAUACAAUGAUCGUACUGCAUUUGAAACGGGGCUUGAGUUUUUCCUUGAGUGGGCGUUCAAUCAAACGGCGUACACAGAUGGACAAGGUAACAUUAGGUGCCCGUGUAAGAAGUGCAAGAAUCAAGCGUAUUUAGAUGUACCUACGGUCAGAAAUGUGUGUGUAGAUAAAAAAAAUACAAUUAUAAGGUUGUUACAUCCCAAUUCUUGAAUGAAUAAACUAAAAUCAAGGUACGACUAAAAUUAUAGAAAUAAACAAGGGAAGAACCUUGUGAAAUUCAAAUAAUAGGAUAAAAAGUCGUGCAACGCCCUUUGAGUGAAGAAAGAUAGAAAUCCAGUGAUACUAAUCAAUCAACAUUCUAAACCUUAGGAUCCAUGCUUCUAAUAACCAACGUGAAGUAACAUAGUGCUAGAAAUUGAGAAUCUAAACUCAAUAAGAAACAUAAUUUCAGAAUUUAACAUAAAAGUUUUAAGUUAGAGAAACAAAAGAUAAUAAGAGCUAGUGCAACAACGGAAGACAAAAUACGAAGUUGAACCCUAGCCUCAGCUCUGCCCCGUUAGCACCGACCAAUCAACCUGAAAAAUAUUUGAAAAUAUUUUUGAGCUAUGUACUAAUGUACUUAGUGGGCUGCAACUUUUAAAACAUUUCAUAAUUCAUAAGAGCAGUUUAUCCAAUUAUACUUGACAUGACUUAGAAGGUUUUAAAGUGAAAUAACUUCUAAGCAUGUUAAACAUUUUAUAUAUUUGCGCUAACAUUUGCAUGCCUCGAAAUGAUUGCUCAAAAUUGAAAGGCAACAGGCUUCCUCGACAAGAGUUGAAAUCUUUGAAGGAAUCAUACAUUACCUAAGAACAAGUAAAAAGCAUUUGUGACCCAAAAUGUGUACCCCAAACAAACAAUCAAUUGAUGAAAUGAUUUUUUUAUUUCUAAUUGGCAACGACUUGAAACGAAACCAAAACCAAAACCAACAACUCCCCUAAAAGUAGACAAAGACCACAAACAACUGAAUUACUAGAAUGCCCUCGAGGCACCAUUUCUCAAUCAGUAUGUAUAUUAUAUAUUAAAGGGUGUCAUUUCCUCAAUAAGUUGAAUGAAAUUUUAGAAGAAGAAGAAGAAAAAAAAAGAGUCGCAAAUGUCUCUUUGGGGAUGACCUAACCGAACCAUGGUGAGGAUAUUUUUAUAUUUUCUAUCAACACCUUUUAAAUUGUGACAUACCAAAUUUAUCAUAAUAUGUGAAGCAUAGGAGUUGGGUUACGUAAUGUAAUGCAUGACUCAAAUAGCCGGAAUUAAAGAUACCAUGCACUCCUCCUCCGCAUAAACUCAAAUUUUAUAAAAUAUUUAUAAUCAAUUAAUCCUACUUUUUCAGACCCGUUCAAAUAAAAAUCGAUUUCCCUUUACAAUACAGGAUUGUAGAAAUUGU
Molecule: long non-coding RNA, 2377 nt
Organism: Salvia miltiorrhiza (redroot sage)
Lineage: Eukaryota; Viridiplantae; Streptophyta; Magnoliopsida; Lamiales; Lamiaceae
Exons: 3
Source: RefSeq, a predicted model, not a curated record